Lemur catta (Ring-tailed lemur) is the source of this 3467-nucleotide long non-coding RNA. RefSeq lists it as uncharacterized. The record is from RefSeq and is a predicted model, not a curated record. The transcript is spliced from 5 exons. NCBI's taxonomy places the organism in Eukaryota, Metazoa, Chordata, Mammalia, Primates, Lemuridae.
CUGGGGCGCCGCACAGUUGGUCGCACGGUGUGGUUUUCCAGUCGAAGCCUUGCCAAAUUCCCGGCAAGCGGAGCGGCGAGAGUGAGUCGGAAGUCAACGGCCUCCCCGGCGGCCUCCCAGCUCCAAAACCGAGCUCUCAGCUGCGGCGACAACGGCAGUUGCGGAGGCUGCCUUGGCCAGGGCAGCAACUUAGACCACCGUAGGCGGAGCGGAGGCCUUGGUGGAAUCUUGAUCCCGGGCCAGAGACGUAUCAAGAGGAGGCGGAGGGUCAUGCCUCUGGAAGACAAGAUGAGUAUUCUCGAGAAGCUGGACAAAGGCGUGAGUCAGGGGGAAGUGUACUGCCUUUUUGGCGUUAAUCAGUCGACCGUGCGCACCAUUUAGAAAAACGAGAGGACCAUCGGGCCAGCGUGGAGAGAAUGUCACCCAUUUGCUCCAAGCUGCUGUGCUUUCCUUGUGAUGUAAACAUCGAGAAGAUGGAGACUCCGUUAACUUUUUGGGUGUACCAUCAGACCAUUGGGGGUGGGGGUGGGAGGCCGGCAUCUGACCCCAAAGGCUAGUUGCAACUAGACCAAACAUCUAUAAGGAAGUCGUGGAAAUCUCUGGGGAGGGCAAGCCAGAUGAGUUACAUGCGAGCAAGGAAUGGCUUGAGAACUUUAAACAUCGCUACUGUCUGUGAAGGACGAGAUUGAUGAGGUAGGAAGGACAGUUAAAUGCUGAGUUGGCAUCCCAGUAUUCCAAGCAGCUGGAGAGACUGAUCAGAGAAACUAGAGGCUCUCUGCGCCUCAGCAGAUCUUCAACGCCAAGGAGAUGAGCCUAUUUUGGAAAUGCAUGCCUUCGCGUACUUUUAGGGAAAAAGACAAAAAUCCGGAAAGACUAGAGGAAGCUAAGCACAAGAUUUCCCUCAUUUUUUGGUGCCAGUGCCUCAGGUGACAAAAUGAUAAAACUGCUGCUGCUUUACAAAGACCAUAAUCCCACUUGUCUUUUGGAAAAAGCUAAAAAAUACCUUCCUGUUUUCUGGCGAUCACACCCCAUAGUAUCAGUAACUGCUGCCUUCUUUUUGGGUUGUUUUCAUAAUUGUUUUCUCUAUUAAGUCUGAAGUUAUUUAACAAAAAGUCUGGAAUUCAGAGUGCUGCUAAUUGUGGACAGAGGUCCCAAUCAUCCAGACUCAUUAUUCUUUGCUCUUUCUAAUGUUUAUAUUGUAUUUCUCCCUCAGGAAGGCACUAGUUUUCUCCAGCCCUUGGAUCUGGGUAUAAUUGAAGCAUUCAGGAGAUACUACACCAAGCAUGUAUGUUUGACCACUUGCUAACUGUGUUGGAAAAAAACCCUCUCCUUAGUUUGAAAGAAACAUGGCAACAUUACAUUACUGUUGCUUUGGUAGUGAUAAAAGAGGUAAUGGAUGGUAGAGAGCCAGCUACUCUUAAUAAAGCAUGGUGGAAACUUUGAGAGGAUGUUGUGAGUGAUUAUGCAUAUUUUUCUAGAACUGAUGAAGAAGUUGAAAAGUCACAGUGUUUGCAAAACAGAUUUUUUAAUUCAUCAGUAUCAAGGAAAGUGAAAUUAAUGAGCUACGCAAUUUUCAAUCUUUGGUCAUAAAUAAAGCAAAAGAGUUGAAGAAAGAAGGAAGACAAAUGAUAAAGAGGAAGUAGUGUGGGUGAAGGAGGUGGAUACAGAAUCUGAGUCUGAGUCCCGAUCAGAAUCGGAUAAGGGACAGGAGAAGGUAGACGAUAAGAAGAAGCGCUUGGAUCCUCCAGCAGCAGCACUCAGGAUCUUGAUAUAUCUGAAGAAGAUGCUCAAGCAGUGAAUACAGAAUUGAACUUUGGACUCUAACCUUGAAACUGAAUCUGGAGAGAGUAGAGGUUCCUACUCUCCAGAGGCUGGUUUUCCAAAUAAUAGUUCAUCUCCUGCCCCUUGUUACCCCAACGUAUCACCUUCAUCACUGCCAUCAUCCUAAUCAUCACCAGCCACACAUCCAUAUCAUUUAGUCAUUCAACAAACAUUGAGCUUAAAUUAUGCAGAGUCGAGCUAAACUUGGGGCCAUCAUCUCAAGAUAUCAUCUCUGGAUCUGAGCACUCUCGCAGGUCCCGGGCACUGUGCCAAGCCUGGCCAUGGGUUAUCUCACUGGAUCCUCACAGCAGCCCUGUGAGGAGGGAAACUGAGGCUGCAGAGAAGUAACCAGCUGGGGAGACACUGAGCCAAGAUUCAAACCUAGAUGCGGAAAUAGGCUCAGGAAGCAAUGGAACCUGGCCAAGGACAGACAGCUGGAAGCUGGUGCCCAGAGUGGGUCUCCGUAAGUUCUCACUGGCUUAAUGAAGCAAUGGAUCAAUAACUACGGUGGUGCCCAGCCUUCUGCUCUCUUCUUGGGAGAUGCCAGGGGGCCAUCAUUCUGUCUGGGCGGAGCAGUCAUCUGGCUGGGAGACAAGCCGGUCCCCAGCACAGGCUGGUGCACGGUGGGCUUUUGCACAAGGUCUGCUAAGGCCCUCAGAGCACUUUUCUAAAGAGCUGGUUGGAUGACGUUGGCUCUAAGAACGGCACCUGUGAAACCAGGCUCUGGCUUCUCUCACUGCCAGCGGCUGCGGGUGAGGGACCAGAAGGAAUUCCCCAGCAAUCCCCCCAUCACCGGUCUGAGCGCCAGGCUGGAGGAUGGGCAGGGGCCCGAGAGGAAAGGUUUACCCUCUUGAUCUUCCCGAGGUAAUACAGUCCGUCUGUCCACCGGCACAGCACAUACUGGCCUUCCGUCAGCUUGGACAUCAGGUCUUUGAAGUUGUUCUUGGCCUUCGCCAGGGCCCCCUUGUUGGGGAGGUGGCUGGUGGCACCAUAGGAGUCCCGAGUCCCUGGAUCCAGAGCUCGAUUCUCCAUCAGCUUCCGCUGACACUGGGAGAGAAAGAGAACGGAGCUUUUACCUCUUGCUCCCCUGCUCCAGAAAGCCCAGCACGAGAAGGGAAGAAACGUCCACAUUUGUAACCUGUGCUAGGUACAAGACAUGUUUAUUAUUUCACUGAAUACUCAUGACAACCUAUGAGGAAGACAUUAGUAUUCCCAUUUUACAGAAAGGGAAACCGAGGUUUGGUAAGAAGAGGCUCAUGGACCAGAGGCAGAGCCACGGUUCAUAAUUGAGGGAGCUCAGUCCUGUCUCUUCUCACCCUCACUGUGCUGCCUUCCAUAAAGAAUGGGUCUCUCAACAACACAGAGCAACGUCCCCUUCCCCGGGGGCCUCAGCCACACUCCCUGCCUCAGGAGGUGGAGGCUUUAUCCCUUUAUCCCUUAAGCAAACACACUCCGUGUUCUCUGGGUGAGGGCCUUCUCCAGGUGGUGGUGGGCCACCUCCCCCCAAACACAACAGCACACAGGCACUGCGCGGUUUUAUACCCCCCACCCCUUGCCUGAGAUCUGUCUAGAGAAAAGUCACCUAGAAAGGAAAACUCCUGGGCGGCUUGUGAACUGGUGUAGACUGGGCCAUCUGUGUCUUUGUA